Ignavibacteria bacterium 13_1_40CM_2_61_4 is the source of this 73-nucleotide non-coding RNA. NCBI's taxonomy places the organism in Bacteria, Pseudomonadati, Ignavibacteriota, Ignavibacteria. The record is from Rfam.
GCUUGCGUAGCUCAGUUGGUAGAGCACAUCCUUGGUAAGGAUGAGGUCAUCGGUUCAAUCCCGAUCGCAAGCU